GACGAACGCUGGCGGCGUGCCUAAUACAUGCAAGUAGAACGCUGAAGGAGGAGCUUGCUUCUCUGGAUGAGUUGCGAACGGGUGAGUAACGCGUAGGUAACCUGCCUGGUAGCGGGGGAUAACUAUUGGAAACGAUAGCUAAUACCGCAUAAGAGUAGAUGUUGCAUGUCAUUUGCUUAAAAGGUGCAAUUGCAUCACUACCAGAUGGACCUGCGUUGUAUUAGCUAGUUGGUGGGGUAACGGCUUACCAAGGCGACGAUACAUAGCCGACCUGAGAGGGUGAUCGGCCACACUGGGACUGAGACACGGCCCAGACUCCUACGGGAGGCAGCAGUAGGGAAUCUUCGGCAAUGGACGGAAGUCUGACCGAGCAACGCCGCGUGAGUGAAGAAGGUUUUCGGAUCGUAAAGCUCUGUUGUAAGAGAAGAACGAGUGUGAGAGUGGAAAGUUCACACUGUGACGGUAUCUGACCAGAAAGGGACGGCUAACUACGUG
RNAcentral lists this ribosomal RNA (495 nucleotides) under uncultured bacterium. RNAcentral describes it as "partial 16S ribosomal RNA". It matches the Rfam family "Bacterial small subunit ribosomal RNA", at positions 28 to 507 of the family's 1533-position model. The record is from RNAcentral.